GGCCUACUGACAUUAAGCUUCUGCAAAUGCAACUCAGAUCAUAACGGUAUUUCACUAAGUUGUCAUCUCAAAACAUUGACAAGGACAGUGUUGUCUUCACAAAGUUCCUUCCAGAACAUGGGUACCAUUUCUUUUGUAUUAUUUCCAAGUAGGUACUUUGAAGAAACAAGGACUACUAUUGAUAUCUGAUUUUAUGAGAGUCUCCACACCUGACCAAGCUUCCUCGAGCAGAUGAUAAUCUUCAUCCUUUCAUCAGAGGACAUCAGUGGGCGGCUCUCCUUCCUUGGGCUUGCCAGACUGGCACUAGCAGCUGCAGAUUAGGCCAGACCAAUCCUGGAAGGGUUGCAGGGGCUCCAUCGCUGCCUUCCUGAGCUCGGAGUUGGCCUUGGGGCUCUGGGGCCUCAGGGGAACCUUUUGCAUCUCCAGGAUGCCUGUCCAUUUAACAGGGCUUUGGAUCAAGUUUCUACUUGGUUUUCUACCGGGAUUAGAUCCUGAUCCUGAAUCCUGGUUCCAGUGGCUGUGAAACCCUGCUUGGUCCUUGUCAGCCUCUCUGCAGAUGACCAGGAUGCUGAUGGGGAUGUGAACCCAACACACCUUGAACUACCACAUCCCUGUCCACAGGGAUAACUAUCCACAGUCAGGAGCUUCCAGGAGCCUUGUUUCUGCUUCUCUCUCUUACUGAUGCCCUUGAGGGACCCCAGGCUUGUGACCUCCUGUAAUAUUCUCCCCACCUUACCUCCUCCCCCCACCCCCGCUUCUGCUUCUCCUCUUUCUGUCCCUAGGAAAGCCCCUCAAAAGGGUGAGGGCUCUUCCCAGCACCCUUAAUUCCAGGCUCUUCUCCUUUGCUGCUGGCCUGAGGACAGGGUUCCUUCAAGCUCUGUGACUGGUCUCCAGUGGUCCUCUUCUGAUGACUUUUCUCUGCCUGAAGGCAGCGAGAGAUGUCUGAGUCUGUGUCUGAAGAGGCCAGAGGAGAGGAUGGCCGAGAUGACUUAUGGAGAUCUUGGCAACCCACAUGGCCUUCAGUGGAAAUCCAGGAUCAGGAGAUUUGGGUGUCAGCACAGUGUGGCAUGCCAAAGCAAGGUGGUUUGCGCACGUGAUUCCAUCAGGUAAGAUGUGGAGGAGCUUUUUCAGGCUAAUGAAAACUGAUAAUGCCAAGCAUAAUAGGGGAGGUUUAAAUGGUUAGAGAAGCUGAAUUAUGAGGUUGGAAUGGCAUUUUUUAAAAAAUAUUUUAUUUAUUUAUUCAUGAGAGACACCGAGAGAGAGAGAGAGAGAGAGAGAGAGAGAGAGAGGCAGAGACACAGGCAGAGGGAGAAGCAAGCUCCUCACAGGGAGCCUGAUGUGGGACUUGAUUCUGGAUCCCAGGACCACGACCUGAGCUGAAGGCAGGCACCCAACCCCUGAGCCACCCAGGCAUCCCGGAAAGGCAUUUUUCAUGUGGCUGGUUCCUACUUACUCAGAUUCAUAGAGUCUGUGGCUCUCACCUGCUGACCCACCUCUCCUGCUGUUGACCCAGCUAUAACCCCACUUGGUCAAUCUUUUCUUUAUCUGUUUGGUUUCUUCAUUAGUCUGUGGGAUGUGUUCCUCACAAACUGUUCUGAGAUCAAAGAAAUUUGGGCUACCUGCCUAUGAAACUUCUUUUUGAAAUUUACUCUGAACGUUAACUUCGUAAAGUUUCCAAAAAGUCUUGCAGUGAAGAAGCCUGUCUAAUUUUGUUUAAUCCAGUGGUCCCCCAACUUGCAAUCAACUUCUCUCCCACCCCUAAGCAUUGCCCCCAAACACACACAGGUCCUCUUGGUGUCUGGUGGGCACGGUUUGGGAAAACUUGCCCUACAGUGAUAGAAAGGCCUCCAUAUCCCUUCUAGCUCUAAUCUCGGUUUCCCUUCAACCUUGAUUCUUUUUUUCCUUUUUUGAGAUUUUAUGAACAGUUUUUAUUUUUAUUUUUUGAACAAUUUUUACCAGAGUUCAAUACCAAUAUAAAUUUUACUCACAAAACUUGCAAUUCAAUGAACCCCUUGUUUUCUUUUUACUAUGGUGGUAAAAUAUACAUAAAUUAUGUUGGCCACAUUAGUUACAAUUCCAUGACAUUUAGUACAUUUACAAUAUUUUCCUACCAUCCCUAAUGUCUAGAUGCAGAACACCUUUAUCAUGCCAAAAGGAAACCCACAUUCUACUGGCCACCCUGGCGACCACCAUUCUACUUUCUGGCCCUGGCGACCACCAUUCUACUUUCUGAUUCUAUACAUCUGACUAUGCUAGGGACCUCUUAUAAAUGGAAUCAUACAGUGUCUGUCCUUUU
Molecule: long non-coding RNA, 2296 nt
Filed under: Canis lupus familiaris (dog)
Lineage: Eukaryota; Metazoa; Chordata; Mammalia; Carnivora; Canidae
Description: lncRNA (ENSCAFG00030024055.1)
Source: RNAcentral